This 300-nucleotide ribosomal RNA is filed under the name uncultured bacterium. RNAcentral's name for it is "bacterial SSU rRNA". It matches the Rfam family "Bacterial small subunit ribosomal RNA", at positions 775 to 1067 of the family's 1533-position model. The record is from RNAcentral.
GGAUUAGAUACCCUGGUAGUCCACAACUGUAAACGAUGAAUGCUCGACGUGUGUCCCGUUUUGCCGGACGCGUGUCCAAGCUAACGCAAUAAGCAUUCCGCCUGGGGAGUACGGUCGCAAGACUAAAACUCAAAGGAAUUGACGGGGGCCCGCACAAGCGGUGGAGUAUGUGGUUUAAUUCGACGCAACGCGCAGAACCUUACCCAGUCUAGAAGUCAUAGGAACCCGACAGAAACGUUGGGGUGCCCUUUUCGGGAAUCUAUGUGACAGGUGCUGCAUGGCUGUCGUCAGCUCGUGCCG